Lycium ferocissimum is the source of this 1062-nucleotide long non-coding RNA. RefSeq lists it as uncharacterized. NCBI's taxonomy places the organism in Eukaryota, Viridiplantae, Streptophyta, Magnoliopsida, Solanales, Solanaceae. The record is from RefSeq and is a predicted model, not a curated record. The transcript is spliced from 2 exons.
AGUAGCUUUAAGGCUGCUGCUCAUUUGGUUCAUCCUAUAUCCCCUAUUAACAAAAGUACAAGAAUAAAUUCAUUAACAAAACACUCUAAACAUAAUUACGUAUUGUAGUUCUAUUUUAUGAACGAAGGAAAAAUUCAACAAGUACGGGCGAGCUUAUCUGUGGUAUUGUACACUCAUCUCUAGAAGCCCACAUUUAUACGUCUCAUGUACCUUUCAAAGUAGAUGAAUACAGCCACCCAUUCAAGAGUUAAAUUUGACUUAAUCUAUUUUAUUAAAUUAAAUCUCACUUUCUUCUAGACUCUCCACAAGGAACACAUAAGAACCUGCAUAUAUAUAAAUGUGUCCUCUGCUUCAAUAAUCACAAAGUUUGAAACAAGCAAAAACAUAACAUGUCAUCAUUUAAGUUUCAUUUUGUGUUGCUAUCCCUUUUGGUUUUCAAUUUCUCAUUUCAAGAAGAAUCAAGAAUUGGAUUUGUAGAUGCUGCAAGACCAAUUUUUGUACUACAACAACAACAUACUAAUAAGUUUUCUUCAUCAGUAGAGUACUUAAAGAUUUUUGAGACUCUUGGAAUUGUAUGCAAGUGAUUAGAUUGUUGUCUACUUAUAUGGUUUUGGACAAUCCUAACUUUAUGAGCUAGUUUUUGAGGUUAAGUUAGACUCAAGAUUCAUUAUCUUACAUGUUAUCGAGUCAGAUUCCAUUCAAAAUCUUUGAUUACUAGCUCAAUUUUCGGCCUCCACGCUUCAGAUGUCCAGAUUUGGAUGCACGAGGGGUAUUAAGUGUUCAUAUUGAUUGAGGCGAUGAGUUGUUUCAUCCUUAUAUAAUUUUGAACAAUUCUUAUCUCAUAAGCCAACUUUUCUUUAAAGUUGAAUUAGGUGCGAGAUUCAUUUUUCUUUGAAAGUGUACAAGAGGCUUUUGCUUUGUAUAUAUGUUCAUAGAGAUUCAGUGGCUAAACAGCCUGUUCUUUUCGUUUUAAACAAGACUUUCUUCUUUAAUUCUUUGAAGCUUAUUUUAGUGUGGCAUAUGGAAACAAUGAGAAAAAAGAAAAGAGGAAAUUACGUCUUA